GGCGAGAUGGCCGAGUGGUUAAGGCGCUGGUUUUAGGUUUGAUCUUGUUCUAGGUUAGAAUCACCAGUUCGAAAGAGCGUGGGUUCAAAUCCCACUCUCGUCA
Molecule: transfer RNA, 103 nt
Filed under: Pyronema domesticum
Lineage: Eukaryota; Fungi; Ascomycota; Pezizomycetes; Pezizales; Pyronemataceae
Description: tRNA-Leu
Rfam family: tRNA
About the family: Transfer RNA (tRNA) molecules are approximately 80 nucleotides in length. Their secondary structure includes four short double-helical elements and three loops (D, anti-codon, and T loops).
Source: RNAcentral